This 135-nucleotide ribosomal RNA is filed under the name Castor canadensis (American beaver). The record is from RNAcentral. Lineage: Eukaryota; Metazoa; Chordata; Mammalia; Rodentia; Castoridae.
GUCUACAGCCAUACCACCCUGAAUGUACCCGAUCUCGUCUGGUCUCAGAAGCUAAGCAGGGUCAGGCCUGGUUAGUACUUGGAUGGAAGACAGAUCUUCAGAAGAGACUGCUCAGAGACAAGCAGUUUGGAGACA